Molecule: small nuclear RNA, 107 nt
Organism: Cebus imitator (Panamanian white-faced capuchin)
Lineage: Eukaryota; Metazoa; Chordata; Mammalia; Primates; Cebidae
Source: Ensembl
GUGCUCGCUUCGGCAGCACAUAUACUAAAUUUGGAACGAUACAGAGAAGAUUAGUAUGGCCCCUGCGCAGGGAUGACAUGUGAAUUCGUGAAGCAUUCCAUAUUUUU